GAGUUUGAUCCUGGCUCAGACGAACGCUGGCGGCGUGCCUAACACAUGCAAGUCGAGCGCGAAUGGAGCAAUCCUAGUAGAGCGGCGCACGGGUGCGUAACACGUGGGUAAUCUGCCUCAAAGACUGGAACAACCUGCCGAAAGGCUGGCUAAUACCGGAUAAGCCUACAGACUCUUCGGAGUCCGAAGGAAAAGGUGGCCUCUGUAUACAAGCUAUCACUUUGAGAUGAGCCCGCGGCCCAUCAGCUAGUUGGCGGGGUAACGGCCCACCAAGGCUACGACGGGUAGCUGGUCUGAGAGGACGAUCAGCCACACUGGAACUGAGACACGGUCCAGACUCCUACGGGAGGCAGCAGUGGGGAAUUUUGCACAAUGGGCGAAAGCCUGAUGCAGCAACGCCGCGUGUGUGAUGAAGGUCUUCGGAUUGUAAAGCACUUUCGACCGGGACGAACACCUGUUGGCCAAUAUCCAACAGCCUGACGGUACCGGGAGAAGAAGCACCGGCUAACUCUGUGCCAGCAGCCGCGGUAAUACAGAGGGUGCAAGCGUUGUUCGGAAUUAUUGGGCGUAAAGCGCGUGUAGGCGGCUUUGCAAGUCGGGUGUGAAAGCCCUCAGCUCAACUGAGGAAGUGCGCCCGAAACUGCAAGCUUGAGUACCGGAAGGAUGGCGGGAAUUCCCGAAAGA
This 684-nucleotide ribosomal RNA is filed under the name uncultured delta proteobacterium. RNAcentral describes it as "bacterial SSU rRNA". It matches the Rfam family "Bacterial small subunit ribosomal RNA", at positions 9 to 677 of the family's 1533-position model. Lineage: Bacteria; Deltaproteobacteria. The record is from RNAcentral.